This 490-nucleotide ribosomal RNA is filed under the name uncultured bacterium. RNAcentral's name for it is "partial 16S ribosomal RNA". It matches the Rfam family "Bacterial small subunit ribosomal RNA", at positions 30 to 507 of the family's 1533-position model. The record is from RNAcentral.
AUUGAACGCUGGCGGCAGGCCUAACACAUGCAAGUCGAACGGUAACAGGAAGAAGCUUGCUUCUUUGCUGACGAGUGGCGGACGGGUGAGUCAUGUCUGGGAAACUGCCUGAUGGAGGGGGAUAACUACUGGAAACGGUAGCUAAUACCGCAUAACGUCGCAAGACCAAAGAGGGGGACCUUCUGGCCUCUUGCCAUCGGAUGUGCCCAGAUGGGAUUAGCUAGUAGGUGGGGUAACGGCUCACCUAGGCGACGAUCCCUAGCUGGUCUGAGAGGAUGACCAGCCACACUGGAACUGAGACACGGUCCAGACUCCUACGGGAGGCAGCAGUGGGGAAUAUUGCACAAUGGGCGCAAGCCUGAUGCAGCCAUGCCGCGUGUAUGAAGAAGGCCUUCGGGUUGUAAAGUACUUUCAGCGGGGAGGAAGGGAGUAAAGUUAAUACCUUUGCUCAUUGACGUUACCCGCAGAAGAAGCACCGGCUAACUCCGUG